GCAAAACUUUGAGACCUUUUGUUCUUUAGUGCAGUGAAGGAAACCUCAUUAGAGAGGAUUUUCUUAGUUAGCAGGGCUUUGGGGUUAAUGAGCUGUGAGUGAUAAUAUAUAGUAGUAAUCCCUCAUGGCUGUAACAAGUUGUAUUUUAUAAACUCCUUAAUCUCAGUGGUGAAGGAGAUGUGGGGUAUAGGAAAGAGAAGAAACUAAUUUGCAGAGCUCAGGGAAAUUCCAGUGAUUUUGCUCUGUGUCUGGAAGUUAUUUGGUAAAAAAACCCUACAGGUACCACCAGGUCAAAGAAAGGGAAUAUUAUCUGCAUGUUUUCCUAAAUGGUGUCAUGGGGAUGACAGGAGGUGAUCAUGAAGAGAUAAUAGAUGUUUCACUUUUCAGUCAAGCAAAUGUAACUCCCACCUACUCCGUGGAGACUGCUAGAUUACAGCAGCCAGCCUGGGAGGUACAUCAAAUUCUGUUGCAUCGUGCAGAUGGUUAUCAUUUAAGAUGCAAAAGUCCGUGUCAGCCUGAUAUAGAGCCAUAUGAAAGUCAUAAGGAGCUGAAGAAAGAGGGGCUAGUGAAGAACAACAAACUGCUUUUUCAAAAAUACUGGCCUCAUAACUUGUAUGGUAUACAAUUACAACAAAUACUGGUAAAUAAGCUUAAAUGUUGGCCAUCCUUUCUGGAUGUUACAAUAUAGUAUUUUGAUACCAGAAAGCUGUAUGGAAAUGUUGAGCACUGCCAUCAUAGAUGGCACUUUGACUACUACCUAAACCUUGCCUAUGACAACCCUGAGCUAUGCAGGGCACCUUCACUAAAUUAAACAACAAAGAUGGAGCAAGAGUCCAUAGGUAAAAAGAAAGAUGCUGUCAAAUCAUUGAGGAAAUCCUUAUGGAGCAGGCCAGCUAGAAGAUGUUGCUUGUUAUCUGGUGACCAACUGAUUUUAUUACUCUCUUUAUGCUUAAGUAGGUUGAACUUCUGUUUAGCAAGGGGAAAGAAUGGUGGUAAAAAAUGCCAUUUUGCUUCUCCAACAUAAGGCAAGACUUCUUAUUCACGGCACUUAUACAUUCUUCAAUAGGAAUGAAAGGAAAAUAAAACAACUGAGUCCGGUUGCA
This 1103-nucleotide long non-coding RNA is filed under the name Anser cygnoides (Swan goose). RNAcentral describes it as "lncRNA (ENSACDG00005009471.1)". Lineage: Eukaryota; Metazoa; Chordata; Aves; Anseriformes; Anatidae. The record is from RNAcentral.